AUGAGGCACAAGAACAUAGUGCUGCUCCAAGGUUGUUGCUUAGAGAUGGAGGUUCCCUUGUUGGUGUACGAGUUUGUAGAGAAAGGGAGUUUGUAUGAUGUUCUGUUCAAAGGCAAGGAUAAGGACAUUUCAGUGGACACACGCCUGAUGAUUGCUCACGGUUCAGCUGAAGGCUUAACAUAUAUGCAUUCAGCUGUGGAGAAUACCAUCCGUCAUGGUGACGUUAAAUCUGCAAAUAUUCUUCUUGAUGAAAAUUUCACCCCAAAAGUUGCAGACUUUGGGACAUCAAAGUUGAUGGUAAGAGGAAGGGAUGAGAAGGCUGACUUGGUCACGGGAGACAUGGCUUACAUAGAUCCAGAAUACAUGCUUAAUGGGACCGUCACACAGAAGAGUGACGUCUACAGCUUUGGAAUUGUUCUCAUAGAGCUAAUUACAAGGAUGCGCGCAACCUAUGAUGAAAACCGGAGCUAUGUUGCAAACUUUGUUCAAGCUACUCUCGAGAAGAGAUCAAGGGCGCUCUUUGACAAUGAUAUCACUAGCGAGGCCGAUAUUGAGCUUCUGGAGACACUGAGUGAAAUCGUUGUGGAAUGCGUGAAGCCCAAACCAGAAGAACGCCUAGAGAUGAAACAAGUGGAACACCGACUCAGCCAAAUUAAAGGCCAGCAUGCAUAG
RNAcentral lists this ribosomal RNA (672 nucleotides) under Triticum aestivum (bread wheat). Its description in RNAcentral is "partial small subunit ribosomal RNA". Lineage: Eukaryota; Viridiplantae; Streptophyta; Magnoliopsida; Poales; Poaceae. The record is from RNAcentral.